CAGAGGGUGCGAGCGUUAAAUCGGAUUUACUGGGCGUAAAGCGUGCGUAGGCGGCUUUUUAAGUCGGAUGUGAAAUACCCCGACGCUUAACUUUGGGAAGUUGUCAUUCGAUACUGGGAAGGCUAGAGUAUGGGAGGAGGAUGGUAGAAUUCCAGGUGUAGCGGUGAAAUGCGUAGAGAUCUGGAGGAAUACCGAUGGCGAAGGCAGCCAUCUGGCCUAAUACUGACGCUGAGGUACGAAAGCAUGGGAGGCAAACAAGGAUU
Molecule: ribosomal RNA, 263 nt
Filed under: uncultured bacterium
Lineage: Bacteria
Description: partial 16S ribosomal RNA
Rfam family: Bacterial small subunit ribosomal RNA
Source: RNAcentral